UUCAACCAUGUGAUUCUAACUCCUCUUACCAGUUCAGUAUGGCCCAGUGGGGGUGAGCCACACAGAGGGAAGACAAGAAGGAGACUAUGACAUUUUACCGCUUAGACAAAGACCGUGUGCGAACGCGAUGGAAGAGGGUGUGUAUGACUGUCCUAUAUCUUACAGGAGGGCUGCUGAAAAUCCGAACGCUGCAGAGAGCAUCUAUGACGUACCCAGCUCUCUGUUGAGGAGGAGGCCUGAUCACACUUUAGUUGCAGAGGUGCAGCCGGAGGACGGAGACUACUGGAGGAUAUGAGAUCCAGCUGGAGGACACGAUAGUCUGGAGCACUCUCUCCAAACCUGUGGACCAGACGCAGAAUACCAAGCUGCCUAAUAUCUGUAGCGAUGCAUUUAAACACACACACACACACACACACACACACACACACACACACACACACACACACACACACACACACACACACACACACACACACACACACACACUGUAUUUAUGCAACAUGUUUGUCACCUUAGUUACACUUUUGGUUGCUAGACAAAAUGCACAACCACAAGUCGGUUUCAGCUGUGGUAUUUAUUUCAUCUCUUUCUAUACAAGACAGAGAUCAUCUAUAACUAGAAUUAACACACUGUACAGACAUGUCAACACACACGGUGGGCCAGUCACACCAUGGUUCACAAUAGUGAAGUUACUCAUUUACACCACUUUCACAGUUUUAAAGUAUACACCACCAGCUGUAUUGCUGUUUUACACACUUUGGACUGGUUUGAAUGGGAAUGCUUCCAAAACCCCUUUAUGGGUUUAAUGCAAUAUAC
This is a long non-coding RNA of Notothenia coriiceps (black rockcod), 816 nucleotides long. RefSeq lists it as uncharacterized. The transcript is spliced from 4 exons. NCBI's taxonomy places the organism in Eukaryota, Metazoa, Chordata, Actinopteri, Perciformes, Nototheniidae. The record is from RefSeq and is a predicted model, not a curated record.